Molecule: long non-coding RNA, 943 nt
Organism: Zonotrichia leucophrys gambelii
Lineage: Eukaryota; Metazoa; Chordata; Aves; Passeriformes; Passerellidae
Exons: 4
Source: RefSeq, a predicted model, not a curated record
GCAGGGUAUCAUACGCUAGAGGCAACUUUUUUACAUUGACUUAAAAUGUUAACCUGGAUUAUAGUGUCAGAUGAAGACACUGAGGAAGAGGAGUGUUCCAGCAUGAGGGUCAGUGGAGGACCAUAACACUUUCUCAUUCCAUGUAAAAAUGAGAAAGUGCUUACAGUUAGCAAAAUUUUUUCAGCUCUCUGAUGGGUGAUGUGGCUUGGCCUAAUGCAAGAAUGUCAGCUUUCUGCCUACUCACAUAAAUAAUACAUGUGAAGAGAGGAAGAGGGCUCAACUCUCGAGAACUACAGAGAAGAAGGUGCGCCUGUCUCAAAAAGGGAUUUGGGAGUGCAGUAUUUGAAAAGUGAUUACAGACUCCUCAAAAGAAAAAAUAAAUAAUAAAAAGGACCGUAAUAUUACUUUUGAAAAAGUGUUCUGAGACUUAGAAAAACACCUGAACUGAUAAAGGUAGAGGAAAGAGAAGCCAGGAGUUCUGAUUAUUUUGCUGCUUUAAUCCUGACAGCAUCUUUUCCAUUUUAUCUAAUAAAGACCUGGAUUUUCUGCAAACUUCACUCUUCUAUCUUCAGUAAAAUUACAGAACUAGAAUAUUUGAACAAAUUUCUCUUAGGUUAAGCUUUUCUCACAAAAAAGGGAUCAUCAUGUUAAAUGGAAACAAAUAUGCUCAAGAAACAAUAAAAUCUAAACUCCAAUUUUAAUUUUCACAAAAAGUAGCUAGUAGCAGCACCAAACAGAGACAAUCAUUACAGGUUGAGAUACCUUACUUUAAGAUGCAUUCCCUUCCUUGUAGGUUUUGGUGACUUAUUUUAAACACACAUACCCAACCACACAGACAAUGCUCAUACAUGAAACUGCAGUGGACUGAGCCUAAAACCUUCAAGGAAAGUAUAAGUCAGGCCCAUGAACCCAAUUCAUAUCUGGCAAACAGCUGACAUCAGUG